UACAGAGGGUGCAAGCGUUAAUCGGAAUAACUGGGCGUAAAGCGUGCGUAGACGGUUAUUUAAGUCAGGUGUGAAAGCCCCGGGCUCAACCUGGGAAUUGCAUUUGAGACUGAAUAGCUAGGGUGCGGAAGAGGGAAGCGGAAUUUCCGGUGUAGCGGUGAAAUGCGUAGAUAUCGGAAGGAACACCAGUGGCGAAAGCGGCUUCCUGGUCCAGCACCGACGUUCAGGCACGAAAGCGUGGGGAGCAAACAGG
Molecule: ribosomal RNA, 253 nt
Filed under: uncultured bacterium
Lineage: Bacteria
Description: partial 16S ribosomal RNA
Rfam family: Bacterial small subunit ribosomal RNA
Source: RNAcentral